GACGAACGCUGGCGGCGCGCCUAACACAUGCAAGUCGAACGAGCGAGAGAGAGCUUGCUUUCUCAAGCGAGUGGCGAACGGGUGAGUAAUGCGUGAGGAACCUGCCUCAAAGAGGGGGACAACAGUUGGAAACGACUGCUAAUACCGCAUAAGCCCACAGGUCGGCAUCGACCAGAGGGAAAAGGAGCAAUCCGCUUUGAGAUGGCCUCGCGUCCGAUUAGCUAGUUGGUGAGGUAACGGCCCACCAAGGCAACGAUCGGUAGCCGGACUGAGAGGUUGAACGGCCACAUUGGGACUGAGACACGGCCCAGACUCCUACGGGAGGCAGCAGUGGGGAAUAUUGCACAAUGGGGGAAACCCUGAUGCAGCGACGCCGCGUGGAGGAAGAAGGUCUUCGGAUUGUAAACUCCUGUUGUUGAGGAAGAUAAUGACGGUACUCAACAAGGAAGUGACGGCUAACUACGUG
This 466-nucleotide ribosomal RNA is filed under the name uncultured bacterium. RNAcentral describes it as "partial 16S ribosomal RNA". It matches the Rfam family "Bacterial small subunit ribosomal RNA", at positions 28 to 507 of the family's 1533-position model. The record is from RNAcentral.